This 49-nucleotide transfer RNA is filed under the name Broxylus pfeifferi. RNAcentral describes it as "partial tRNA-Leu". The record is from RNAcentral. Lineage: Eukaryota; Metazoa; Arthropoda; Insecta; Coleoptera; Lycidae.
AUUGUUAUUUUGGCAGAUUAGUGUAUUUGAUUUAGAAUCAUUUUAAGUA